AUACAUAAAAACUGUAUGGCAGGACUAUUCCUCUCGGCCAGCACGUCCCUCUCAAAACUAAUGGAGACAUCUGGUUGAGAACGACUUUUCACAUCCCUUUUCGAAGUAUGAACUUCCUUUCAAAAUAAACACGCGGAACCUUUCUGGGUCUCUCUUGCGGGAUUAGAGUAACAUCGACACCUUUGCAAGUUGUUUGCUGGCGAGUCCUCGACCUGCUCCUCGCAGCUGCCAGCGGGGAGGAAGAGAAAGCCCAUCCUCCAAAACACUCAGGUAACUCAAGCAGAAGCAGCGACAGGUGUUUCCGUCGUCCCUUCCACCAGGAACAGCGCCCCACCGGGUCUCCACCCUUCCCCGCGCACACGUGUCCUUCCGUGGGGUGGGGGGCCGCGUGCACCCUCACCUGAGCGCUUCGGAAGCCUGUAUCCCGAGCCACGACAGAGUUAAAGAAGAGGACGGGAAAACGAGGCAGUGUGAAAGUAUCACUUGAGAGACAGGGAGUGGAGUGUUCAGCCUUGUUUUUCAAUUGCAAGAGAAUGUGUGGCCAAUUUCUCCCAGGAAAAGAGAAAUGUUCCAAUAAUUUCUCAAUAGCAGGACUCUUCCAUAAAGCCUGACUGUCCCAGUUAGUUAACAAAGCAGCUCCAGAAAAUAGGAUUGUGCAAGAUCCAAUAACAUGUCAGACCCCAAAAAGCUUUCAAAAAGCUGUGAUACCUGUCUAAAGUGGCACCAAGGCUCAUCUCAGGAAGUGUGUACAGACAAACUUCAUUUACAGGACCACAUGAAGGCAAAGGAUGCUGCAGCAAUAAUUCAGCUUCUGCCUCCAACAGUUCAGCUGCAUUAAGAUAACUGCAAAGAGAAGAUUUUUGUGAGAACGUGUAUGUAGAGAUAUCCUCACUGACAAGGAUUUGUUUUGGGAUAUAGAAGGCGCUCACUGAACACACAACUGCAAAUAGGCAACUGCAAACCUAGCCCAUGUGUUUCAGUACAUUAUGCAAACCCAGAAAACGGACUUGAGGAAACCAUGAUUUGAUUAUCCAAGGUCAUGCAUAUAGUGCAAACCAAGCAAUAUAGGAAUUCUUUCCUGCUGCCAUGAAAGCUUAAAUUGGCCAGAAAGAUUGUUGAAGUAAUAUUUUGAUAUCACACAUGUAACAACUGGCAGAUGUUGUUGGGCAAUAUUACCAGUGAUCAUGCAGAACUUAAUAUUUUAGUCUGGCAGCUAAUUUCUUCAGAUGAAUCAGGUAUGUCUCUUUCCAGCUCCACCUGGUGAUCACACUGCAGACUACACUUCUGAACAACUUCUUCCACAUCUUCAAUUAUGUUAAAGGAAAUUUUGAAACCAAUACUGACUAGUAUUGUCUUGAAGAGAAACAGCUCAAUCCUCAACAUGUAUUUUUCUGUUCAUGCCUUCCUAUUGCUCCUACUUCCAAAUUCUAUACUCCACAAUGAGACCAGUCCUGGAAUGAAAAGUAGCCAGCAUAAUUUAGUCAUUUUUUAAAAGCAAGUAUAAAUAUUACUAAGCAAAGAGAAGAAAAUGCUCAUCUGUUCAAAUCCAUCAUCUGAAACAAUUUCCUGCCCUUCUAUUCUCACGUUUACAUCAGAACAUGCCCAUCAUUUUUGUAAGGAAAUGUUGCAUGUGGCACAGAUACAGCUAAGUUACAAGCUUGGUAAACCAGUCUACUGCUUCUGUAUCUUACUAAGCUUUGGGUGCUCUACCAAUUCUGCAUCUCACCAGACUUCAGCUGGUGUACCAACUGCAACCCUCUCUGAUGCAGAGGGAGAUAACUAGUGAUUCAUGCCCUUAUCACCAUCAAAUUGGAUUCCUGCAAGACAUUUUACAUGGGGUUGCCCUUGAAGAAUAUUCAGAAACUACAACCAAUGCAAGACCUACAGAGUAUGUUCCCAAUGCCAAACAGAAAAGACACCAAAAUUGGAUGCAAAAGCAACUGUAAGAUUAAUUUGAUAGACGUUCCUGGAAAGCAUUUGGCAGAAUUCUGAUUGAAAGGGUAUAGGAAAUAGCAAUCAUCAAAGUUUGGAAGAACAAUCUGCUUUACGUUGGACUGGUGUGGCAUUCAAAUUUUUGCUGUUCAGCAAAACACUGUAUGAAUGAGAAAAAGUGCAUGGUACAUUUGUUGAUUUAGAGAAAGUAUAUUUAAAAUAAACAAACUUGGAUUAUGAAA
This is a non-coding RNA of Python bivittatus (Burmese python), 2174 nucleotides long. The record is from RefSeq and is a predicted model, not a curated record. Lineage: Eukaryota; Metazoa; Chordata; Lepidosauria; Squamata; Pythonidae.